RNAcentral lists this ribosomal RNA (253 nucleotides) under uncultured bacterium. RNAcentral's name for it is "partial 16S ribosomal RNA". It matches the Rfam family "Bacterial small subunit ribosomal RNA", at positions 524 to 776 of the family's 1533-position model. The record is from RNAcentral.
UACGUAGGGGGCAAGCGUUGUCCGGAUUUAUUGGGCGUAAAGAGCGUGUAGGCGGCCAACUAAGUCAUACGUGAAAUCCCUCGGCUUAACCGGGGAACUGCGUCUGAUACUGGAUGGCUUGAGUUCGGGAGAGGGAUGCGGAAUUCCAGGUGUAGCGGUGAAAUGCGUAGAUAUCUGGAGGAACACCGGUGGCGAAGGCGGCAUCCUGGACCGAUACUGACGCUGAGGAGCGAAAGCCAGGGGAGCAAACGGG